UCCCAAAAAUAACUCUAGACGAAUUCAUGGUUCAGGUUAAGAAAUCAACGACUCAGGGCUUUCGACGAAUAAAUCGAUAUUGAAAAUAAUGAUAGUCGAUAAAAUAUUGUUGAUAAUUUUUAUAAGGAUAAAAGGUGAUGAGAAUUAUUUAUUAGAAAUAAUAUAUGAGUUAUAUUAUAAAUAAGAUAAGGUUUGUGUUAAAAUUGUCUAUUUCGAAUUAUAUGUGGUUGAUUCGAUAACAAAAAAAAGAGCCAAAUAAGUAACAAGGAUUAAGGAAUAAAGUAGCAUUAAAAGUAAGUAUUAGAAGUAUAGUGAGGGUGAGAAUGAGAAGAAAAUCGGAGUUGAAUCGGGAAUCAUAAAUAGAAUACGGUAGAAGGGCAAAAUCGUCUUUUCACAUGAAAUAAAAUAAAAUAUCUUGUUUAAAUCAUAGGGCACGAAAUUUCCAGCAUUUUGGACAUGUUUGACUUCAAAAUAUGCCUUAAAGUUAAUAGAAAAUUCUAGAGAAAAUAAAAUAACUAUGCAUGAUUUGAUGAAGGCCACUUGUACACCAAAAAUACCAUGAAAUUAAUUAAUAAUUUGGGACACUUUUAUAAACCAAAAAUAACACUAUUUAUCCUCAUUUUCAUCCCAAAAGUCGUGUCCUCCAUAGCCAAGGAGUUCCAAGCUUUCAUCUUCAAAUUUUAGCUCCGUUUCUCAACGUAUUGAAUACCCGAUCGCGCAAUCGGUGUUAAAUCAAGCUACACCCAAAUGUUAGCAAAUGAAAGGAAAAAGGAUCGGCGAAAGAAGAAAUGUCGAAUGGAAAGGUUUGGAAAUAACGUCAUCCAGGUAGCAUGCUCAACACUUAAAUGGCCUAAUUCUCUUACGUGUUUUUCCGUGAUUAUUACGUGACUUAUUGUCUAAAUAAUUUAUGAUUAAUUACUUGAUAAAAUAUUCAUGAAGUAAAAUAUAAGAAUAUGAUGGAUUGUUGAUUGAUUUGAUAAUGAAAUAUGUGCAAAGAGUAUGCGUUGUGGAGAUGGAAAUAAAUGUGAUUAAAUGUGAUGAUGUCUGAUCUAUCUAUCUGUGAUGAGGUCUGAUUUGUCUGUCUGUGUUGAUAUAUUAUUAUCUUAGUAGAUUAUGAGUAAUUAUGUGAUAAAAGACUUGUGAAGUAAAACAUGAGAAUAUGAUGAAUUAUUGAAAGAUUUGGUAAUGAGAUGUGAAAAGGGAAGAAUAUGGUUGUGACUGUAGAUAAUGUGGAAAUGAGCAUUUAGAAGGAUAUGAUAAAUGAUAUAUGAUGAUGAGACGUAUACAAAUAUGAUUAAAUGUGAUGAUACUUGAUCUAUCUAUCUAUCUAUCUAUCUAUCUAUCUAUCUAUCUAUCUAUCUAUCUAUCUAUCUGUGAUGAGGUAUGAUCUGUCUGUGUUGUUGGGAAUCUGGGAUGAUUUUGAGAAUGUCGGAAUUUAAUCUAUAAAUUCGAUAUGAUAUGGUGUGAAAAUAAGUUGUUGAUGUGUUAUAUUAGAAAUAAUUGAGAAUAUGUAUUGAGAUGAAAAUGAGUAAAUUUGAUGGUGUUUACGCCCCGUGCUUGAGUGUAUUCUGUGGGUACAAUUGGCAUGCCAUAGGACAGCAGCGCUGCAUCAUCUGUGAUCUCUCGUCUUCUGGAUAACCGAAGCGAGGAUCGUCUGUUAUCUGAUCUGUCUGAUCUGCACCCUUUGGGUGGUCUGUUCCCGGGAUUAUCUGUAUGCAUCCGAAACGGAUGGUCUGAUUAUCUGUCUGCACCCUAAUUGGGUGGUCUGUGCAGAGUCCUCUCGAGGACAAAAUCCGCGUUUGUAUCUGAUUCUGAUUUGGUCCGUGUACCCUAGUCUGUCACUAAGCACAUUAAGGGGCCAUGUGUGAAAUUAUGUGAUAAUGUCGAUCAAAAUAUUCGUGAUGAUAUAUGUGACAAUAUGUGUAUGACAACAUAUGAGUUAUAAUAUGAGAUUGUGUGAAACAUCUGUUAUAAUUUGAUAUGAUAAUAUCUUAUACGUGAAAAUAGAUUUUGUUACAUGGUUCUGUUGAGUUUUAUUAUAAAUAUUGAAAAUCUGAGACUUGCAGAUGUAGUUUAUGACAUGUGAAGUUUUGUAUUAUUAUACCCCUCUGAUGACAUAGUUUGGAAAUUUGAAGUCGUGGACGAAGAUUUGACUACUGGUACGGGUAUGUUGAUACGUGUGAUGACGUCUGUGAUUUGUCUAUGUUAAUGUGUGGAUAUCAUUUGGAAUAUUAGAUGCUUCAUAUAAAUGCUGAUGACUGUUGAUAAAUUCUGGGUUUGAUAUUGCCUAUUGUUGGGUUUUGGGCAUGUGUUGGUUAUAGAGGAGAUGUUGCCCAAUUUAUGUUAGAAAUUAAUAAGACAAUAAUAAUAUGAUAUAUGCGGUAAUGAUUGGUAAAUAUAAUAAUAAGAAUUUAAGUUGUAUGAUUUUUGAUUGUUAGAGAAUUGUGGCUGAAGUGUUGAGUUUGCUACAGGUUAAUUGGAUCGUGGAUUCCUUUGGAUAUUUCUUUCGUUUCUUCGCCAGCACUGCAUCCUCGGUGGGUCACUGAUCACUGCUUGCGGCGUUUGUGUCCAUUUAUGUUAGAUGUGGCAUGUAUAGUAUUUGAAUAUUUGUAAUAGCUUCCGCUGUGUUUGUAUAUAGUGUUGGAACUUUUGCUGAUAGGUUAAUUAAUUAAGUUUGGUUUUUAA
Molecule: long non-coding RNA, 2685 nt
Organism: Salvia splendens (bonfire salvia)
Lineage: Eukaryota; Viridiplantae; Streptophyta; Magnoliopsida; Lamiales; Lamiaceae
Exons: 2
Source: RefSeq, a predicted model, not a curated record